Molecule: long non-coding RNA, 3047 nt
Organism: Xiphophorus hellerii (green swordtail)
Lineage: Eukaryota; Metazoa; Chordata; Actinopteri; Cyprinodontiformes; Poeciliidae
Exons: 2
Source: RefSeq, a predicted model, not a curated record
AAUAAUGUUCUAAUUGUUUUUGUCUCAACUUUUACACAAAGCAAAUUUACCGUUCUAUCAAAAAAAACUUUGGAAAUUGGCCAGGUUCAGCUUUUCUAAUCCAAAACCGUAAUAUCUGUUCAUUCAAUAUUGUAUUGAAGGAUAUGUCCAGCUAGAAAAAAAUAGUACACGAUUUUUAUAGUUCUUUAUAAAUAUCCUCUUUUAGAAAUGUGUUUGUUUUUCAUCCACCAUUUUAUUUUUAGAUUUCUAUAAAACUAUUGCAUGGAUGGAUGCAUUUUCUGUAAUGGAAUGUUGGUAUCUUUGGAAAGUGAAAACCCAGAUAGUUUUCAACCUAAUAACCUAACCCUAAGAAAAAUAGAGCUAAAAAAUAUUAGUGGGUACUUUAAGUAUAAAAAGAAAAACUUAAAAACUCUAAUAACUAUAUUUUUUAAAAACUUUUUAUUUAAUCAUUUCAGCCAAAGUUAUUAGGAGUUGUUGUGGAAAGUCCAAUAAACCUAGAACCUGGACUAGAGCUUUGUACUAUGUCAGUUUCAAAGAGACUCGCUCAUUAAAAGCCACUUCAGAAAUUGUUAGCAAGGAGGGCUGUCUGACCUGUAGAGGAAAAACCUUCAACAAUUAAGGAGAUGUUACUGUGAAAGCUCUGUCUCCUCUGGUUUUAUACACAUCUUUAUGAUUUUUCUGGUUUAUUCACCCAAAAUUUCUUUAAAAUACCAAGUAAUAGCCAGGAAGGUUUGGUUUGACACUUGAUUUUACCAUGACACUGGCAAGAAUCAGAAAUUAUGUCUGCAUGUUUUAGUAAUAGCAUCAUGCUGGGUAAUUCAAGAAUUACUCAGCAGAAAUCUGAAUAUGAAGUGUAUUAAAGUCAAAUCGAAAAGGUUUCUUUUCAUGAAUUAUUUAACCUAAAUAAUUUAUACCACACAUACUGUAUGUUUAUUCCUUCUUCAAAUGGGUGAAAUGAAUGGAGGGGAAAGGAAGGACAAUUAUUAUACACACUUGGUAAAAGAAUCUACACAGCAAGUUCGGCACAGAUGGACGGUCAGAAAAUGAGUGGUCCGAAACGCCAAUGGAAAUGUGCAAUUAGCCUCUUUUCUGGGGACAUUUUAUGUCGGAACGGUUUAAAUGCUGCAGAAACUCAAGAAGGAUUUUCCUUGGGAGGACCUAAAUUAUUUUCAACAAGGAAAAUCUUAAUUUAUUUCAUCAGUCAUAUCACCAUUGAUUGGAUGUGAAUCCUUUUCUAAAGCUGUUCGUUCAGCUCAUUCACAUCCACUGCACUUUAGUUUCUCUCCACAACUUUUAUACCACUUGAACAGCAGGCAUAGGUUUGGUAUUUUUAAAAUGAACAUCACUGGUGACUCAUGCUCUGGCAUGCUGUGGGUUGCAGCUUGGACCUGCAACGCUGUGGAUGACUCAAAAUGUCCUGCAAAUAUCUUCUGUUUACUUUUAUGUUUCUCCUAAGAGUUUGCAGCUAAUUGGUUUGGAGAUGUAUUAGUCUCCACUUGCCUGCCUUAUUGAUUUUUGUCCUACGGAGACUUUUUCAUUAUGCAACUAUUCAAACACUUAAGCAUUUUAAUUUCGUUUGCUCAUUGUUUGCACCUAUUAGGAAAUUCUGCUAGAAGCUAAAUCACAUUAAAUUACACUCAGAGAGAGCUUUUGGGAAGUAGGAAUCAAAGUGCUAUUUUUCAUCGGUUUACUGUUUCAAUGGGUUUUUGUUUUUUUUUAAAGUUAUAAUCAAAUUUCUGUUUUAAGCAAACUUCCCAGGAAUUCCAGUAAAGUGACAUUUCAUUAGUGUAUAAAAACCAGAUGAACCAUACCGAUUUAAAGAUGAAAACACAAACAGUUCUUUGGAUGUCUUACCACUUGAUCUAAUCACAGUAUCUUGAGUUUGGCUUUUAUCCCUCAUUUUCAGGCUAGUUUGUGGAAUAUUUCUAAACGUUGUUUAAUUCUACUCCAUUAAUUAUAAAUCCAUGAAAAGACUAUUGAAUUAAAGGAAUUGCCAGCACUGUCUACACCAGUGGUCAGCAACAUUUACAUCUUUACACAUUUGUCAGUUGCAGCAGCAAAGCACUGUUUUACUCCAGCAAGCCUGUGUGUUAGACCAGUCUGCAAACACUUCCUUGGAACAGCUUGACAAGCACAGUUAGGACCCACAAAUCCUUUGUUGAGUUGAGAAUGUGUCGGAACAUGUUUUAGCUCAGGGGAUUAGUUGCUAACUUCACAAAUUCAGACUUCAGUCUACACACCCACAGGUUCUUCCUUCCCUGGGAAUACCAAGUAAUUUCCGUUGAAAGAAAGGGCCUGCACCGGUUGUUUCACAGGUGAUAUUGACUGGUGUUAAAAGAAAAACAGAUCGCAAGAGAAAAAAGGGGAUUUAAAAAUCAACCUAUAUCAUGUCUGUUAGAAAUAAUUCAGUGUGAAAGAAGGGCAGUUAAGGACAAACAAGAUGAAACAUAUUAAAAUCAUUUGUCUAAAUUUGUGAAUAUUUUCCUUUAAUUAACUGUUUUUAUUAUAUUCAUGUAAAAGUUUGAGUAAAACUUACAAAAAUGAGACGUUUGUACUAAAAAGAAUGUGUUCUAAUUAAUUAACUAAUUGACUUAAUUAGGGCUGAGCUGGCAGAGUAGAAACCUAAUUUCUGCAGCCCCAUGUGGAGCUGAUGAUGAGAUUUUCUUUUGCUUUUUUGCUUCUAUUUGCAUAUUUUGUAGACUGUUUGACUUCUCACAGUGGGGAAAAUGCCUAAGUACUUAAUAACAAUCCAGCUUGGUGACUUCUAUCCAGAACAAUGCUUUUGCUUGGCCUGACUCUAUCUUGUCAAUACUUAAUCAAACUAGGUCAAUUAUAUCUAAAUUAGUUUUACUUCCUGCCAUGACAAAUGUGAUUACUGCAAAAUCUACCAAAACAAUGAGACAGUAGCAAGAAAGCUGUAGAAAGUCAUUUUUCAGGGUUUGCCAAAAAUGAAGUAGGAGACUCAGCAAACAUGUGGAAGAGUUCUGCUCAGAUAAAAAAAAAAAAAAAAGAACUUCCUGGCUAACUUGCACCUGAACGGAUCAUCC